GUCCAUGCUUUUAUCUUUUUCAGAUCAAAAAUUGGCCACCAAAUUGAUGGAAAAAUCUUUGAACGAGCGAUGAUGCAAUCAUCAUUCAUUUUAUCAUGGAAAAUUGGCGAUUGAUUUAGCUUAAGAUUGAUUGACCCAAAACUAAGAUUGAUCGGUUUCAAUCGUUACUGAUAUAUACGCAUUAUGAAAACUUAGAAUAAUUACAACUAAUUUUUCGGAUGUGAUCAUUUGCCCGUUGAACAAGA
Long non-coding RNA from Dermatophagoides pteronyssinus (European house dust mite), 245 nucleotides. The record is from RefSeq and is a predicted model, not a curated record. Lineage: Eukaryota; Metazoa; Arthropoda; Arachnida; Sarcoptiformes; Pyroglyphidae.